This 319-nucleotide ribosomal RNA is filed under the name Blautia luti. RNAcentral's name for it is "partial 23S ribosomal RNA". It matches the Rfam family "Bacterial large subunit ribosomal RNA", at positions 1 to 322 of the family's 2925-position model. The record is from RNAcentral. Lineage: Bacteria; Bacillati; Bacillota; Clostridia; Lachnospirales; Lachnospiraceae. RNAcentral also lists the same sequence under 1 other name.
AGGUCAAGCAAUAAGGGCACAGGGCGGAUGCCUUGGCACUAAGAGCCGAUGAAAGACGUGAUAAGCUGCGAAAAGCUUCGGGGAGGAGCAAAUAUCCCGUGAUCCGGAGAUGUCUGAAUGGGGAAACCCGCAUGAGAAGACCUCAUGCAUCCAUACGCCAAUCCAUAACGUAUGGAAGGGAACCCGGGGAACUGAAACAUCUAAGUACCCGGAGGAAAAGAAAGAAACAUCGAUUCCGUAAGUAGCGGCGAGCGAACGCGGAGGAGCCUAAACCGGUGUGCGUGCAUGCCGGGGUCAUGGACUGCAUUUAAGAUUCAGU